CUACCCAGCGCUGUUCCCAACUGUGCUGUCUCACAGUCAUCUCAGCUCCUCGCCCAAGCUUUCCUGACAAACCUCCUCGUUCCUACCCUCACAACUUCCUGCAUCUCCCUUCACAGAGCAAUGCUGUAUCUGAAGAGUUCAACUCCCAUAGGAACGCUACAUAUUUCAGCAUCUGUAUUGCUUUGCAAGAAGAUAAAAGGCAAACCGCAAAAGAAAUGCGGAGGAGGAGGGAAUGGCCAAAUCCUCACUGCAAGGCCAGAUCUACUGAGACACAUCUGACAAGGCCAGCCCAAUGAGGAAUGCUACAUGGGAAUUUGCUUAAUUUCUAAUUCUAGGCACUUGGUAGCUGGUCCACUUCCUUUUCCACAGGAAAGGAGGACCCUGCCACACAGACCAGAGACACUACUCAGACAACAGGGAGCCUUCCUGCCCAGGAUCAACACUCUACCAAGCAGCAGCAACUGCUCCUCCAACUCUUUCAAGCAGAGCUUCAUCCUUUACAACACAAUUCUCCAAAAGCUGCAGAAGGCAACUGAACAGCUUGAAACCUCAGCUCAGACACUCGCUUGGUACGGAGAUUGGCUUUCACGACCAGGGGCUGAACACGUGACCUCGAGCCUCCUGUUCUUCCACUUCUUCACCACCCAGGACAUUCAGGGCACACCCACCUACAAGCCAGGGCCUGCAACUCCACACUUUGCAUGGCCAUUAAGACCACUGCUUUCGUCCACAACACAGGAACCCUGUGAUUCACUCAAGUCACUGACCACAGAGGAAGAAUUCCCAUACCCUGAAACAGCAAGUGCUCUUUUUCAGCUCAUCCAUCACACUUCUUCUCUAGGACGCCAACUAUUAAGGCCAUAAGUUCUACUGAUAUAAUUUAAAACAUGUCCCUUGGAAUAAUUCCCCUUGUUCAUUCAUUUCCAGGUGGCAACUUCUAGGAUGAUGAAUUCAUGUACUACACAAAAAAUUUCAACAAAGUACAGAGUCUGCAUUUUAGUCUAGUCCAUACAAAACGGACUAGGCUACACUGCUCCAGAAGCGCAAGGGCCUCGAGCACUACAGACACAUUAGCUAGAGACCUUAGCUCUGUCCCCCUACCCUUUACACCUUUUUCCCUGGCAUUUACCUGCUUCCUCCAUUCAGACUGCAGGCUCUGCAGCUCACCUUGCCUUGCACUCUCCUCCAACGUGUGAUAGGAGGAGCCUGGGCUCCAACCACUGAACACAGAAGCAGAAAGCGAUCAAUUCACCCUAUGCAGACUCCCAUUUUAACCUACACAUUCCAAACAACCUCCCCAGCCACAGCACAUUCCAGCAGUUCACUGCUUUAGCAAACAACCCUGUAGUCUCUCAGCAACAGCCUUACAGAACACAACCCGCUUCAUCUCCAGCCAUCAUGUUAGCUCACGCAUCAUUUUAACUCUGCUUGCUUCAUUCUGCCUCAGGCCCAGAUCACAUCAAGCAGACCAACCCCAACCAGAAGCACGAGCUCUCUAAAGCCUCAAUUAGCCAAGCAGAGGCUUCUGUACAACUGAGGAAGCCUCUCUAAUGAGAGCUUUCCUUCCAGCUCUUUGAUUAAGCAAAGUGGCCAGAACAGCAAAAGUGACAGAAAUGUUCACUGGGGGCCUUACAUUUAGCCUGUGUAGGCAGGCAAGCCAACAGCAGCUGACGGAGUAUGUGAGCACACACUCCAUGACUGAGAGCCCUGGGAAGUGACAGGAAGAGCUCUGCACCACAGUGCUGCCCAUUUCUUACAGUGCUUACCCCAAAAAUGCCUCAUGCACAGUCCAUUGAGCUUUGAGCUCUCUGUGCCAUGGAUGGUUUAUCUGAAAAAUGGGAGCAGGACAGAACUGCAGAGGUUUCCUCUUCUAGCAGGAGCAAAGACGGAAAAGGAAAAGACGGACGCAGAAUAAGCAAAAUAUCAUAUCCAAGGUCUUGGAGAGAUGUGGUUGACAGAGUGAUGCACAGAGGCUGUCCCAGUUAAUGACUUCACCAUUCUCCAUCAUUAUCCCCAUCAUUAGGAAAUUAGGAGGACAGAAGGUAUUUACUGUAAACCUGCCACCUCCCAAGGAGAGAUAAAUAGAAACUGAUAAAUGGGAUCUUCUGGUGCUGUUCGUCUAUUAACCUUCUGCUUCCCAGUUUAGGCAUAUGCAUGCUAUCCUGCCAUUAAUAUCCAGUAAUUGGCAUAGCA
Passer domesticus (house sparrow) is the source of this 2193-nucleotide long non-coding RNA. RefSeq lists it as uncharacterized. The transcript has 4 exons. The record is from RefSeq and is a predicted model, not a curated record. NCBI's taxonomy places the organism in Eukaryota, Metazoa, Chordata, Aves, Passeriformes, Passeridae.